UGCCCGGUGGUGUAAUGGUAGCACAGCGGCCUUUGGAGCCGUUAGUCUUGGUUCGAGUCCAGGCCGGGCAGCCA
RNAcentral lists this transfer RNA (74 nucleotides) under Candidatus Tritonobacter lacicola. RNAcentral describes it as "tRNA-Gln". It matches the Rfam family "tRNA". From Rfam's summary of the family: Transfer RNA (tRNA) molecules are approximately 80 nucleotides in length. Lineage: Bacteria; Pseudomonadati; Candidatus Auribacterota; Candidatus Tritonobacteria; Candidatus Tritonobacterales; Candidatus Tritonobacteraceae. The record is from RNAcentral.